GAUAACUGGAUGAUCUUUCCCAAGAGCUUAUAUCGACAAGAAGAUUUGACACCUCGAUGUCGGCUCUUUGCCACAUGGGAUUGUAGUAUGUUCCAAGGGGUUGGGCUGUUCGCCUAUUAAAGCGAUACGUGAGUCGGGUUCAAAAAGUCUUGACACAGUUC
Molecule: ribosomal RNA, 161 nt
Filed under: Olea europaea subsp. europaea
Lineage: Eukaryota; Viridiplantae; Streptophyta; Magnoliopsida; Lamiales; Oleaceae
Description: Bacterial large subunit ribosomal RNA
Rfam family: Bacterial large subunit ribosomal RNA
Source: Rfam by way of RNAcentral